Dama dama (fallow deer) is the source of this 3071-nucleotide long non-coding RNA. RefSeq lists it as uncharacterized. Lineage: Eukaryota; Metazoa; Chordata; Mammalia; Artiodactyla; Cervidae. The record is from RefSeq and is a predicted model, not a curated record. The transcript has 10 exons.
GAUAUGGCUGUCCAAGACCCCGGAGACGAAGGUCCGCCCAUGAGGCGGCGGCUCGAGGUGCAAGGGAGUCCGGCAAGAAGUGUGGCGGCCCAGGGUGCUUCCCGGUCUUUUAGGAUCACGGAGCUCGCCAGAUUGAGUUGCCCAGGAUGGAAGACCAUUGUCAGCAGGGAACCCGUCACAUAUUCCAUGAAUCCCAGCCUGGUGAGACAAGGAGCAUGAGCCCCCUGGGGCCAUUGGGCAUGCAGCCCUUGGGCGUACAGAUGGAAUACCCAUGGAGGAUAUGCAAAAUCCCAGGGCCCAAGGCUUGGCUGCAGUUCCUGCCCCAUGGCUGCAAUCUGUGCAGUCCCAAAUGCUGACCUGAUUGAGCUCACUGGCCUUCCUGGGAUAGAGGUGGCGACUGCUCAUGCAGCUCCUGGGCACACGUGCUUGGAUCGAUGAUGACUCUUACAAAUGCAUUCCUUGGAAAUCUGAACAAAAUGAGUGAGCCCUCCCUACCGUCUCCUCAUCGGAACUGAGGUCCAGCAUGUGAUUUCCAGUAGGAUCGAAGGGCCAGGGUCACAUUGUAUUUGCUCCUUGGGGCAUCAGCAGCCACAGUAUGCAAGCUGAGGGUGACGGCCUUGUGGUACAGAGCCAGGUUGAGUGGCCCGAGAUGGAAGACUGUUGGCAACAGGUUACCUGUUGUGUAUUCCAUGACACCCAGCCUCUCGAGAUGAGUCUCACGAAUCCCCAGAGGCAACUGGACAAGUGGCCCUUGAGUGUACAGAUAGAACAACCAUGGCGCCAGUGGCCUUGAGUGACCUGGGAUGGAAGACUAUUUGCAACAGAGAACCCAUCACAUAUUCCAUGACAACUGUCCUGGCAAGACGAGGCAUGCGAGCCCCCAGGGACUUCUGGGCAGUUGGCCCUUUGAUGUACAGGUGGAUCACCUAUGGCGCCAGAUUGAGUGGCCCAGGAUGGAAGACCGUUGGCACCAGGGGACCCAUUACAUAUUCCAUGACUCCCAGCCUGGAAAGUUGAGGCCUACGAGCCACCACAGGCCACUGGACACACGGCCCGUGGUGGUCCAGGUGGAACACCAAUGGCUACUGGAAGUGAUGUUAGAGAGAAGGGAUAUUUUGCUGCUUGGAAGUCCACUGCCACCCCAAAUAAGUGCUGUUUUCGUCACUUGUAUGAGCUCCUUUCUCUGGGAAAAUUCACAGCAAUGCUUUCUAGAGACUGACAUGUUCCAAAAACUAGGUUUCAUAUGGAUGAGCUUAUUCCUUCCCCUUGAGAUGAGACAUAAAGAAGAGUGUUGGGAAUAAUUCUGCCUCCAUCCUCAAAGGCCUGUGUGAAUUCUCACAAAGAAGAUGACUUCCUGGGAUGAAUGAUACCAGUAAACGCCUGAAGGAAGACUCUUCAGACAGAGCCCUUUUGCCUCCCCCUUGUCUGAGGGCUGCCCUCUGAAGGUGAUGACCACAGAGACAAGGUGGAUUUGUUACUGUAGGUGCCAUUACUUCUGCCACCAGCUUCUCCAAUACAGUGACACAGUCUUCUUUGUGCUUGGAAACUCUUCUCUUUCCUAUGUUGCAGUGGAUACCUCCUGCAGAUAAGAAAUGGUUAACUGAGAAAUGCUCAUGUUGGGAUAUCAUCGAUGAGACUUUAAUUUGGGCAUGGUGACUGUUUCCCUUGCUUCCACUUGACUCAAUCCCAGGAGCCUCAGUAGAGGAAAUUAUAUUGCAUAAGAAACUCAAAGUGAUGGAAUUGCUCAGUACUCCCAUAAAUAUACAUUUAUAAUUUUCAUUUGCCAUGUAGUAAAUUUAAAAAAUAAGAUCUAUUAAUUUUUUUUUCAAAAAUUUUCAAAGCAUAUUUAAAUAUCUAAUAUAUAAAUUAAGUGCCCUUUUCUCUCCUAAUCCUAUCUCCAAGUUUUCCUCUAUUAAGGGAGUUGUGUGCAUUCUUUAAGCAGAUAGAUGCGCACACACAGACACAAGCUAUUUUAGGGGGUUCUGGAAGUAGAGCUAUAUUGUACACAUUAUUCUGCAAAUUUGCUUUCAUUUAACAGUUUUUUCAAUGCCCUUUUUUUCUGUUUCAGUAAUACAUAUCUGUGUCAUCUGUUGAAUGACUGCAUGAUUGUUUUGUACAUGAAAUAUAAUUAAAUGUUUCAAACAUUUCUUAUUCAUAGAUAUUUAUGUUAGUACCAAAUUUCUGUGCAAUGAACCUCCCUAUAUAUCAAUAAUUUGCAUUUGUCUAUUAUAUCAUAAUAAAUAACUUAACAGUUAAAAUACUGGGAUUAAGUAUAUGCAUAUUUCAAAUUUUGAAAAUGACCACAAGAUUUCCUUAAAUACAUGGUAACAACUUGAUCCUCAAAUGACAAUGAAUGAGAUUGCCAACUUUCCCACAAUCUCACAGAUAAUGAAUUUUAUGAAUAUUUGAAAUCUUUGCCAGUGUGAUAGCCCAAACUAUUGUCUUAAAUUGUACUUCUUUUGUUUUUUAGUUUGAUCAUUUUUUCAUAUGUUUAUUAGCCAUCUGUAUUUUUUGUUUUCUUUUUAUGUCCAAUUUUGGGGCUGUGGGGAGGUUUUAGUCCUUCGCUGAUUUCAAAGAGCUCAUUUCUUAUUGGGGGAAUAAGCUUUGGAUUGUCACGCAUUGCAGACACUUUUUACACACUUUUAAGCUUCAUUUUUGUUAUAAGAAUGUAUUUGAUUGUUACAUGUCCAGGUAUAACCAUGUUCGCUUCUAUGGCUUCUGAGUUCAUGUCAUUUUGGAAAGAUAUUUAUACUGAUCCCAUAGAACUCUUCACCUAUGUUAACUUCUAAUUCCUUUGUGUUUUUUUAAUUCAAGUUCUUAAAUCACAGAAACUUUUUAUUUGGAAUCUUGCAGUUGCCAAGUUAUCUGUCAUUACCUGCGAUUAUUUGCCAAUAAUUGCCCAUUUGUCUGUACUGCCAUCUUGCACAUGUGCUAUAGUCUCAUCUGUGACGGGCGCCAUUUCUGUUCUGUGGGUCUGUGUGUCUCUUCUUCUGCCUCCUGUCUCGUGUCUUCUCGUUAGAAGAAAUUACAGUUUAGACUGCAAUUUCAUCAACUUUUAAUAAAUUAAUUUA